UACGGGGGGAGCAAGCGUUGUUCGGAAUCACUGGGCGUAAAGGGAGUCUAGGCGGUUUGGUAAGUGGGAUGUGAAAUCCCCGGGCUCACCCCGGGACCUGCAUCCCAAACUGCUGAGCUUGAGUACAGGAGAGGGUGGGGGAAUUCCAGGUGUAGCGGUGAAAUGCGUAGAUAUCGUAAGGAAGACCAGUGGCGAAGGCGGGUCUCUGGACAGUUCCUGACGCUGAGGCACGAAGGCCAGGGGAGCAAACGGG
Molecule: ribosomal RNA, 253 nt
Filed under: uncultured bacterium
Lineage: Bacteria
Description: partial 16S ribosomal RNA
Rfam family: Bacterial small subunit ribosomal RNA
Source: RNAcentral